GGCCGGGUAGCUCAGUAGGUAAGAGCACUUGCCCUGUAAGCGAGAGGUCCCGGGUUCGAUUCCUGGUCUGGUCG
Molecule: transfer RNA, 74 nt
Filed under: Lingula anatina
Lineage: Eukaryota; Metazoa; Brachiopoda; Lingulata; Lingulida; Lingulidae
Rfam family: tRNA
About the family: Transfer RNA (tRNA) molecules are approximately 80 nucleotides in length.
Source: Rfam by way of RNAcentral